AGCGAACGCUGGCGGCAGGCCUAAUACAUGCAAGUCGAACGCACCUUCGGGUGAGUGGCGGACGGGUGAGUAACGCGUGGGAACGUGCCCUUUGGUUCGGAACAACACAGGGAAACUUGUGCUAAUACCGAAUGUGCCCUUCGGGGAAGGAUUUAUCGCCAUUGGAGCGGCCCGCGUUGGAUUAGGUAGUUGGUGGGGUAAAAGACCUACCAAGCCUACGAUCCAUAGCUGGUCUGAGAGGAUGACCAGCCACACUGGGACUGAGACACGGCCCAGACUCCUACGGGAGGCGGCAGUGGGGAA
RNAcentral lists this ribosomal RNA (303 nucleotides) under uncultured bacterium. RNAcentral's name for it is "bacterial SSU rRNA". It matches the Rfam family "Bacterial small subunit ribosomal RNA", at positions 29 to 361 of the family's 1533-position model. The record is from RNAcentral.